CUCUCGGUUCCAUCUCAACCUCACACACACCUAUAUUGAGGUAUUUUUUUUUUAGUUUUUGUCUAGCACAUUAAAUCAAUGCUUCAUUGUUUAGUUUUCUUUCAUUUCUGCUGGCUGCCUUGUAUUGUUGUUGUUGCAUUGCUGAAAAUUGGGAAAUGGCAUGAACUAGAUGAAGGAAAAGGAAAUGAUGUCUGUGAAUGCAUAUUAAUUGUUUGAAAAAAUGCCAAAAAGAUUUUUAGGGACUGUUUUGCCUUAAUGUAGUCUUUUGUUAUUGUUUUCUGGUUAAUAAAAAAUCAUAGUUGUAUUGUAGAAGUUGUAAGAGUGUUGUAGUAUAAUUUUCAUGAUUUUUUGUGAAGGUUUAAGGGGUUAAAAAAAAAUAAAACCGUGACUGUUUUUUGGCCAUUUGACCACUUUUCUUUCCUUUUUUGUAAAAAAUAAUUCCGGAAAUGGAACCUACGCGAAAAACCGAGUGAGGGGGUGUAUUUUGAGAAAAUUUGGUAACCGGAGUGACCACCGGCGACGGCGGUCCGGUGGCGGCGGCGCCACCGGCGACCGCCAUGGCCGCCAGCUGAAGCUUCCUCAGCUGGCCGAAGAAGAAGGAAAAAGAAACGGCUGGAAGUGGAGAAAGGAAGAAAAGAAAAGAAGGAAAGAAAGAAAGAAAAAAGGGGUUUGGGCUAAGGUUAGUUUUUAGGUGGGUUUGUGAUUAUUUUGUUAGGUUUUGGGGAUGGGCUUUAGUUUAUUUUUUCUUUUGGGUUUCCGUUGGGCUAGGAGGUUGGAGCCCAUGUAUUUUUUGGCUGGGCUUGAGGGAUAAAAAGACGGGCUGGCCUGUGUGUUUUGGCUUGGGCUUUCAGUUGGGUUUAGGUAAGUUCGGCCCAAGUAAAAUAAAAAGGGAGGCCCGAUGCCCUUUUCUUGUCCAAAUCAGAAACGAACUUGCACUUCAGUCCCUGUACUUUCAAGUACUUUCACUGCGGCCCAUAACAUUUUAAAUUCCUUUCAACUCGGUCCUUAAAUUAAUUUCACUUUGGUCCCUGAAUUUUAUCUUUCAUUUAAUUUGGACCCCUGAACUUUGGAAAAUAUAAUUUUUGUCCCCCAAAAGUUUUCAAUUUUUGCAAUUCAGUCCUUGGCAAAUUUUGGCUCUCUUUAUUAUGAUUGUUUCUUUUCUUUAAUAGCUAAUUAUGCUACUUUUGAAUAUACUUAACUUGUAAUUUUUAGAUUUGCUUAAAUUUCUUUACGUCUGACAUAUUAGUGUGAAUUUAGUGCUUGUAUUAUUAUUUUCUUUUUCAAUUAAAUUGGUGCCAUGAUCCUUUUGUUCAUUGUGAGUAUAAUUAGGACAAUUUGAUUCCAUUUAGUCACCACUUCAAACGGGAGGUACUCCUAUUUUAUUAUUUCAAUGUCAAUUACGUGCUCUUAUGUGUUCCUAUGUGUUUAUAUAUCUUUAUAUGCUUUAUUUAUUUGAUUUAAAUAUUCAUUCAAAUUUUCUUAUAUAUGUUUUAGUUAGUUUUUAUAAUGAUUCGAGAGGUAUUUAAAUACCUCAAAAAUGUAAUAGAUAGGAUAAUUAGAUUUGUUUUAUUAUAUUUUCCCUCUUAGAUUGUAGUUAGGCGCUCCCCGAUGUAAUAGAUAGGUUGCGUGUUUAUGUGGCUUAUGUGUUAAGUGUUUUAUCCGCUUUUCUUAGGAUUUUGGCAUCUAGAUAUUAUGCUUACGUGUUAUGUGUUACGUGCUCUUAUGUGUUUAUUUGUUUUAAUUUAUGCUUUAUUUGCUUCACUAUGAAUUGUUAAUGCAUAACGUCACCACACUAGUCCAACGCUAGUUGUGGCUUCUCUCUUCGCUUACUUGCUAGUCCAACGCUAGUAAGGAUGUUUAGAAAUGGGCUAGUCCAACGCUAGACCCUUUAGGUCGUCUUGCGUUAGAUUCAUCUUUGUGUGCUAUUCACUACAUCUUCAUGCAUAUUUUUAUUUUUAGGAUUUUUUCUCAUUUGCAUGAUAUUCCCUAUUAUAUUAUCCCCUACCCUCUAUAGGCGCUAAUCAUGUCAUUUAGAAUUGCAUCUCAUUUAAGCUAGUUCAUUUGCUUGUUCAUGUUAAGAUAAUUGUUUUUCAAACAUGGAAAAUGGGUGAUUAUAACUUUUUAGUUUAAAUAUCCCAUUAAUCCCUGUAUAAGAAAAUUAUGUCACGAGUUUUGCCUCCCGUACCCUUUAUGUUGCAUUCUCCUUUUCUUUGAUCACUUAUAUAUAUGUAUAUAAUUUAAUUUAAUUUCUUUUAUUUUAAUUUCAUCAUUUGCAUAUUCGUGACACUUUCAAGGAAUCAUUUUGGCCUUCGCAAUUAAUGCGAUUGGUUCAAUUAAACCCCUUGAAUGAACAUUUUGUCCCUUUCGAUAUAUUUAGAUUUGCAUCCAUAUAGGAAACAUCCAAAUAUUAUAAAAUUAAGGGUUAGAUUAGGAAAAUUUUGACUAAACCUCGCAACUAGCUUAGAUUAGGUUGAAAGGGUGCCUUAGGUUUGAGUCAAUUGAACCUUUGCCUUCCCUUUCUUCAACCGUGACUCCCGAACCCAUUUUCUCUUGUUUUCAAAGACCUGGAGUUGUCAAAAAGGGUUUUAUUUUAUUUUAUUUUAUUUUUGGGUGAUUUGGUACACCAAAACUUCAUACCAAGUGGCGACUCCUAUUUUUUCUUAAAAACCCUUUUAGACUAAAUUUUGGACCCAAAUUGUCGCAUUCUUUUUAAGUCUCAUUCUAGGUCCCUUUUCAUUUAUUAUUAAUAAAUCACAUCUUUCUUUAUAAACUCUUUCUUUUUUUUCAUCGUUAAAAAUGGGGCGCGACAAAAUGUAUGUGCAUUUACAUACUAUUAAGUUAGACAUAAUAUAAGUAUAUUAGCGGUGCCUCACUGUUUGAAAAAUCCUUUAAAACAAGAAGGGUGCUUCGAUUGUCCUGUGACGAUAGCAGGGACGUUACUUGCCCUUUUACAAUUACUAGGUGGUGGCACCGCGCAGCGCGCGGUGGUAUAUAUGCCCAGUUAAGGUUUAGUUAGUAAUGUUGGUGAGAAUGAAACUUAAUGAAAUGGAGUACAAUCAAAUGGAACCAUAAAAUGGAACUAUAUUAUACAGGCAUAUUAGUGAGAAUUAGUAAUGUUGGAAAGAAGUUUUAAUUAUACAGGCAUUCUAAAUAUGAAAAUCAAACAAGUUUAAUUUUAAUCUUGAAUGUUUAGGUUGUGGAAGUUGAGCUGAUGAACGUCUAAAAGAUCAUUCAAAGAGUACGAAGUUAUAAUGUUGAACGCAAUUGCUCGAGACAGCCUGAUUGUUUAAGGAGAAGGUUGAAUGCAGCAAAUAAGUGUUCUUCCAUGCAAUUUAAAACAGAGCACUUACCCCCAGUCAUAUAAAGAAACAACACGAAUAAGGGAAACAAAUCUGUGAGGUCAUACAAUUCAACAUCUCCCCUUUUUGUACCCACAGCAAGAAUUUGUUGCUCUAAAGCAACUGAGGCACAUACAGCAUAACUAGAUGCCAGCUUCUUUUCAACUUUAAUUAAAUCAGUUUGCUUUAAUCCUUUCUUACUUCCAGAACAUGACACAAGUUGUCCAUCACAAAAGAGCAAAAAUAGUAACCUUAGUGAGAAGGAAAACUCCCUGUACACAAUAGCAGACUUCUUCCUCAUAUAAUUCAUCGGCAGAGAAACACCUUAUGCUCUAUUACAAGGAAGACCAUUGUCCAAAGAAUGAGACAAUUUAUCAGCUCCACUUCCAUCAGAGAGUGGAAUGUCAAGAUCAACAACCCCACAGAACUGCAUCACAGAAUAAGUUAAAUGAUAACCUGAUUGAACCUUUUUGAGAGGGAGAUACGGGUUUCUGGAUGCUUUCCAAUCUCCAUUAACAUCAUGUUAAGCAAGUAGAAAGGGAAUAGACGCAGCAUUUUAUAAUGGUGCUAAAAAAUGAAUUCAGCGCCUAAGCUACAAAUAUGCUUCUUCAAUGUGCAUUUGAAAGACAUGGAGGAACUGCUACAUUCACAUUACCUCUCCCUUCCAUGAUAUAUUAUACAAUGAUCCAUCAGAAAGUCCAACAAUCAUAUGUUUGUUAUCACAGAUAAUGUUGCUCCUGACAACAGUAAAAAUAAAAUAGUAUCAGAAAUUCAUCUGGAAUGAAAUACACAAAUAUAUCAGAUUGUCAAACAUCAUAUGAAUUUCAAACUUCUGGACACAAAUAUAUCAGAUUGUCAAACUUCUGGAUCCCGUUUCUUAC
This 4219-nucleotide long non-coding RNA is filed under the name Coffea arabica (coffee). Its description in RNAcentral is "long non-coding RNA (CARA_LNC001529)". The record is from RNAcentral. Lineage: Eukaryota; Viridiplantae; Streptophyta; Magnoliopsida; Gentianales; Rubiaceae.